GUGCGAAGGUAGCGUAAUCACCUGUUUUCUAAUAAAAGACCUGUAUGAAAGGCACCACGAGAGUAAAACUGUCUCCUUUUUCCAGUCAGUGAAACUAAUCUCCCCGUGAAAAAGCGGGAAUUCACAUGCAAGACGAGAAGACCCUUUGGAGCUUAAGAAAUAAUAAUACCUGCUACCUUUUUUUUCCCCCCCCCACCUAACAGCACCUUACUUAUGAGUCUUCGGUUGGGGCAACCAUGGGGUAAAAAUGAACCUCCAAGAUGAACGGAACCCUCCUAAACAAAAAGCCACAACUUUAUGUAUCAACAAACUGACAUCAUUAGACCCAAUAUCUUGAUUAACGAACCAAGUUACCCAAGGGAUAACAGCGCAAUCCACUUCCCGACUCAAUAUCGACAAGUGGGCUUACGACCUCGAUGUUGGAUCAAGGUCCCCCAC
This 438-nucleotide ribosomal RNA is filed under the name Eleutherodactylus symingtoni (Symington's robber frog). RNAcentral describes it as "partial large subunit ribosomal RNA". It matches the Rfam family "Bacterial large subunit ribosomal RNA", at positions 1948 to 2550 of the family's 2925-position model. The record is from RNAcentral. Lineage: Eukaryota; Metazoa; Chordata; Amphibia; Anura; Eleutherodactylidae.